UCUGCCCGCUGGCGGCGUGCCUAAUACAUGCAAGUCGAGCGAACAGACGAGAGUGCUUGCACUCUCUGACGUUAGCGGCGGACGGGUGAGUAACACGUGGGUAACCUACCUAUAAGACUGGGAUAACUUCGGGAAACCGGAGCUAAUACCGGAUAAUAUUUAGCUUCGCAUGAAGCAAUAGUGAAAGACGGUUCUGCUGUCACUUAUAGAUGGACCCGCGGUGUAUUAGCUAGUUGGUGAGGUAACGGCUCACCAAGGCAACGAUACAUAGCCGACCUGAGAGGGUGAUCGGCCACACUGGGACUGAGACACGGCCCAGACUCCUACGGGAGGCAGCAGUAGGGAAUCUUCCGCAAUGGACGAAAGUCUGACGGAGCAAUGCCGCGUGAGUGAAGAAGGUUUUCGGAUCGUAAAACUCUGUUGUAAGGGAAGAACAAGUACGUUAGUAACUGAACGUACCUUGACGGUACCUUACCAGAAAGCCACGGCUAACUACGUG
This 499-nucleotide ribosomal RNA is filed under the name uncultured bacterium. Its description in RNAcentral is "partial 16S ribosomal RNA". It matches the Rfam family "Bacterial small subunit ribosomal RNA", at positions 34 to 507 of the family's 1533-position model. The record is from RNAcentral.